RNAcentral lists this ribosomal RNA (448 nucleotides) under uncultured bacterium. RNAcentral describes it as "bacterial SSU rRNA". It matches the Rfam family "Bacterial small subunit ribosomal RNA", at positions 328 to 793 of the family's 1533-position model. The record is from RNAcentral.
UGGCCAGACUCCUACGGGAGGCAGCAGUGGGGAAUAUUGCACAAUGGGGGAAACCCUGAUGCGGCGACGCCGCGUGAGUGAAGAAGUAAUUCGUUAUGUAAAGCUCUAUCAGCAGGGAAGAAAAUGACGGUACCUGAGUAAGAAGCCCCGGCUAACUACGUGCCAGCAGCCGCGGUAAUACGUAGGGGGCAAGCGUUAUCCGGAUUCACUGGGUGUAAAGGGAGCGUAGACGGCGACGCAAGUCUGGAGUGAAAGCCCGGGGCCCAACCCCGGGACUGCUCUGGAAACUGCGUCGCUGGAGUACGGGAGGGGCAGGCGGAAUUCCUGGUGUAGCGGUGAAAUGCGUAGAUAUCAGGAGGAACACCGGCGGCGAAGGCGGCCUGCUGGACCGUGACUGACGUUGAGGCUCGAGAGCGUGGGGAGCAAACAGGAUUAGAUACCCCGGUAA